AACGAACGCUGGCGGCAGGCUUAACACAUGCAAGUCGAACGCCCCGCAAGGGGAGUGGCGCACGGGUGAGUAACGCGUGGGAAUAUGCCCUUCGGUUCGGAAUAACACAGGGAAACUUGUGCUAAUACCGGAUACGAUCUACGGAUGAAAGAUUUAUCGCCGAGGGAGUAGCCCGCGUAGGAUUAGCUAGUUGGUGAGGUAAAGGCUCACCAAGGCGACGAUCCGUAGCUGGUCUGAGAGGAUGAUCAGCCACACUGGGACUGAGACACGGCCCAGACUCCUACGGGAGGCAGCAGUGGGGAAUAUUGGACAAUGGGCGAAAGCCUGAUCCAGCAAUGCCGCGUGAGUGAUGAAGGCCUUAGGGUUGUAAAGCUCUUUAUCCGGGACGAUAAUGACGGUACCGGAGGAAUAAGCCCCGGCUAACUUCGUGCCAGCAGCCGCGGUAAU
RNAcentral lists this ribosomal RNA (447 nucleotides) under uncultured bacterium. Its description in RNAcentral is "bacterial SSU rRNA". It matches the Rfam family "Bacterial small subunit ribosomal RNA", at positions 29 to 524 of the family's 1533-position model. The record is from RNAcentral.